UGAGGAAUAUUGGUCAAUGGACGAGAGUCUGAACCAGCCAAGUAGCGUGAAGGAUGACUGCCCUAUGGGUUGUAAACUUCUUUUAUAUGGGAAUAAAGUAUUCCACGUGUGGGAUUUUGUAUGUACCAUAUGAAUAAGGAUCGGCUAACUCCGUGCCAGCAGCCGCGGUAAUACGGAGGAUCCGAGCGUUAUCCGGAUUUAUUGGGUUUAAAGGGAGCGUAGGUGGAUUGUUAAGUCAGUUGUGAAAGUUUGCGGCUCAACCGUAAAAUUGCAGUUGAAACUGGCAGUCUUGAGUACAGUAGAGGUGGGCGGAAUUCGUGGUGUAGCGGUGAAAUGCUUAGAUAUCACGAAGAACUCCGAUUGCGAAGGCAGCUCACUAGACUGCAACUGACACUGAUGCUCGAAAGUGUGGGUAUCAAACA
Molecule: ribosomal RNA, 422 nt
Filed under: uncultured bacterium
Lineage: Bacteria
Also listed under: 1 other name
Description: bacterial SSU rRNA
Rfam family: Bacterial small subunit ribosomal RNA
Source: RNAcentral